This 498-nucleotide long non-coding RNA is filed under the name Coffea arabica (coffee). RNAcentral describes it as "long non-coding RNA (CARA_LNC000084)". The record is from RNAcentral. Lineage: Eukaryota; Viridiplantae; Streptophyta; Magnoliopsida; Gentianales; Rubiaceae.
UGCCCUGAAAUCGCAAGUGGAAGCUUUGCAAGGGCGAGGAAGCAGUGAAAAGAAACCACAAUUCAAAAAGAAAGAAGGAGAUACAACCUUUGUUUGGAACCACAACCCUUCACCCCGACCCCGAUACCAACACAACCCAACCUACCACAACCUUACCCUUACUAUUAUUCAAGCCCAAACCCUGUAUAUACUACCAACAUCCACCACCCUCGACCUCGCCCAAACUAUACUAACCCACCUUCAGCCCCUUUUCAAAUUUCUCAACCAAAUCCACCCCAAAACCGACCUCGACCUCCAUUUAACCCAAGAUUUCCUCCUCCAAAUAGACCUGCUUACAACUAUCCUCAACCCACUGAACCCUACAACAGACCCCCUAGCCGUACUUUUACCAAUUUAGGCAGGCCUUUAGACCAAUUAUAUGACCAGUUAAGGGCCUCUGGAAAAAUUGGUACAGUACCACCUCCUACCUACCCGUAUGGCAUGCCCGUUUGGUAUAAC